RNAcentral lists this Y RNA (111 nucleotides) under Carlito syrichta (Philippine tarsier). RNAcentral's name for it is "Y RNA (ENSTSYG00000022486.2)". It matches the Rfam family "Y RNA". Rfam says of the family: Y RNAs are components of the Ro ribonucleoprotein particle (Ro RNP), in association with Ro60 and La proteins. The record is from Rfam by way of RNAcentral. Lineage: Eukaryota; Metazoa; Chordata; Mammalia; Primates; Tarsiidae.
GGCUGGUCUGAAGGUAGUUAUCUCGAGUGAUUGUUCACAAUCAGUUAUAGAUAGAAUUCUUUGUUCUAAGUCUUUCCUCCCUUCUCAUUGUCUACACUUGACUAAUCUUUA